This is a long non-coding RNA of Lagopus muta (rock ptarmigan), 3146 nucleotides long. RefSeq lists it as uncharacterized. The transcript is spliced from 5 exons. NCBI's taxonomy places the organism in Eukaryota, Metazoa, Chordata, Aves, Galliformes, Phasianidae. The record is from RefSeq and is a predicted model, not a curated record.
CUGCAGGGAGGCUGGAGGCAGUGCAAGCUCCAGGCGCUGCUGGGGAGUGCCUGUGCUGUCCGUGUUCCCAACUUGAGGAGCAGUGCUUUGCAGUUGGGGCCCACCUGAAGCCUGUGUGGAAGGGAAUUGGGCUCAUUCAGCAGUGAAGGAUUCAUCCAGGCUUUUCAUCUUCCCUGACAGCGGGAGGUCCUACCCUCAGUGUGUGGGGAAGUGGGAGCUGCUGGUGCCUGGGUGUCCUCGGCCUGGUGCUGCUCCCCGAACACAUUAGUGAUGAAAACGUGCACAUGAAACAGCAACAAAAGGAGUAUCUUAAUUUGCUUCUGGGAACAGAAGUCUGCACCUGAGGAUGGCUCCAAAGUCACGGUGCUGCCCUGCUCCCUGAGGACGCUGUGCUCCCGUGCCUUUCUGUGAGGAUGUGGGCCUUGCAGUGACUAUUACUUAAACUGAAGAGUAAAUUUCAGCCUUGGCCUCUGUUUCAUGGGAAGAAACAAUUGCACCCUUAGGAGCAAGGAUGUGGAUGAUGGCAGGAAGUGAUGUGCAGUGUGGGCAGUGUGGUGGAGAAGAACCUGACCUGGUGAGGAGGGCAGGGUAGCCUGUGCAUGCCUGCUGCUUGCUGGUGGCAUGGGAACCCCAUGCUCUGGCACUGCAAAUGCCCAGAGCCCAGUUGCAGCCCUGCCUCACGUUUCUGGCAUUAUUACUUGGGGUUAAGCUGAUGUCACUGAAGUAUGAAGCAUGAUGUGAGGAGAUCAGCACUGUGCAUCAGCGUGGAACUGCUCCUUUCUGGGACCCCCAUCCCCAGUGCUGCGGACUGAUCCAAGGAAGGAGCUUGAAAAUGUAACCUUUAGCUUCAGAACCUUGCAGAUGAUCUUUAAUGCAUCAAAAUGGGAUUUGGGAAGAAUGUAAAACAAUUUUGGAGGUUGAGGUCGGCAUUACUGUGAACUGAUUUAGGAACAUCCUUCUCUCCAUGAAUCUCCUCCUGUCUUUCCUUGACUAUCAGGCACCACAUACUGAACGGGCAUGCAGCUGCUUUGCCCAGCCAGAGCUGGCAUCUUCACCUUCUGCCCCAGAUAAGAGUUAGCUUCUGCCUCUGGACCUCUUUUUUGCCAUUUACCUGCCUCAGUCCCCAUCUGAUUUGUGUCUGCAUAGUGCUUUCAGGAAUGUGGCUCCUCCAGUUCAUCUGGGGCUCUCUUCCCACAUCAGUUGCUAAUGAAGGAGAGUGUUGUGUUUCAGGGUAAGAUUUGUUUCCCCUCUUGGCUGCAAGAGAUGAAUAUACAGUUCACAAGAGUGGACUUUGUGUUAUGUUCUCUCCAUGUUCUCUUGCAUACGAAUGUGGCUCCAGAGACAGACGACAAGGGCAGCCUGAAAUGGCUUUGCAAACUGCCUUCUGCAGCUCAGCUGAAGUUAUUUAUCCCACUUUCUUCUUUAAAACUAAAAAUUUAAAAAAGAGAGAGAGAAAAUCCCUCUCUCCUCUAAGCUAGAAUUAGCAGUUGAAUUUUCUUUUGUGGGCAUCCUGAUGGAGCUGUAGGUGUCCCUGUUCACUGCAGGGAGUUGCACUGGAUGGCCUUUUGUGUCCCUUCCAACUCGAACCACUCUGAGUCUGUGAUUCUAAAAAGUGGGAGUUUCCCUGUGGGGUGAAGUAUCUUGAAUGCAUCUUGACUUGUUGGAUCUUGCACAUUUCUCUGGAUUUUGUUUUCCUUAAAAAACAAGGUUUUUUUUUUUCUUCUUCUUCUCCCCCCUUGCUCCCACCCCACUAAUCAUGCUGACCUUGCUGAUGAGGCUUGAGACUUGAGAGGGAAAUCAAAUGCACCCAAAUUCUACUGGUUGGUUUUGUAUUCUGACUCCAGAGUCAGAAACUGAGCCAUCAAGUUCUUAGGCUUCCGGUCUCCUUCACAGUCCUAGCAGCUGGAAUCGUGCUCCUACCUGCAGGCUGGGUGCACUGAGAUCGGUAGAGAUGCACCAGUAUAGGUAACAUAGUUCUGGGAUAUAGUUGUCAUCUUUCAUCUGAGGCCAAGGUCUGUGCAGUCCUGGUGGUGCAGGGAGAUGCAUGACAUCAAGGUCUGAGAAGCUGUCUAGUCCAUCUCCUUCUCAGCCUGACCUCAGCCCCUCCUGCUGCAGUAAUCCAGAUGCAAUCAGUCUGGCACUUUCAAAUAUUUAUGAAUCCUUGAUGGAUAUUUUUUUGAGGUUUGAAGUUGUAGCUUUCAUGGAAUCUGGUUUGAUUAGCUAGAAAGUCAAUAUUUUCAUUGUGCUGUGUCUGAGGUGCAUUAAUUCUGGCGCAGACAGCAGCAAUAUCAGUGCUGCAGUACUAAUGGCUCUCUGCCUUCACCGACUGGUGCUUAUGUAGUCUGGGAUGAGCUUGGAGCGUGUGGAGAUGCCUUGACGAGAAGCUAAUAAGGCAGUCCAGCUCAUGGUGGAAAUUGGCCAAGGCAGGCAAGGAAAAGGCCCACAGUGAUGUUUGGGAAUCUGCAAGAUGAGGCACUGAGACUGCCUUUCUUUCCAAGUCAUGUCUUCCAGCACAUCCAAACAAAGUAGAUUGCUCUUUACCAGAACUCCCAUUAACUUGUCUUAAAAGAAUGUGACACCUUCAGCAGAGUGAAUCAGAACCUCGUGGGACCAGACCUUUAUUCUUCCCAGCUGAUGCAAAUACCAGAUUGAUAGGUGAGCAGAGUUAUCCUUGUCUUUACAGAUGAGGAAACUAAGCCAUAGGGGAAUUGUAUGAUCUCAGCAGAAGCACAAACAGAAUCUCUUUGUUACUUUAUGCCACGACAGUCAUUGCCAGAAUUGGAGAGCCCACUUCUCCUUUUCACGUGUCUCACAUUUGUCCUGAACCAAGCAGCUGCCAUGCUGAUGUGAAACGGAUGAACAGGCUGACCAAGGGCAUGCCAGCUCUCUGCUGUUAGUGCUGUCAGUGGCCAGAGCUUCCUGUGCUCUCAGGGUGCGUAUCUGGGCACCUUGAGUUGCACAUUACAGUGAAUGUGUCAGGGGCUGGGUGCUUCAGUAUCCUUCCAGGGUUAAAAGCCUGCAGCACAGCACUGUGUUCCGAGGAAUUUCCAUUACAUCCACAUGCCGUGGUGUAUUUCUGUCAGAUUAGGUAGCCCAAAGACGCCCAGCUGUUUGCAGCAGGUAAUGUUUAUGAUGACUUGUGUUCA